CACGGUGGUAGGACGGAAGUGCUUCCCCUGUCACCAGGGCAAAGACCAGCGCAGCAGGAAAGACAAGCUGAAGAGACAACAUCAACUGCUUGGUGACCAUUCAGACCACUCCUAUCAAGAGACUUGACGUCAUCACCUGCAAGAUUCCAAGAAGCUUGACUGCCCAGCUGGAAUCAACGUGGCUCAUGUUAUCAGAUUCCCUGAUUACAAGAUUGCAGCUGAUGAUGCCAAACAGAGAAAGCGUAGAGGCAAACAACUCAAAUUUGACCUGGCAACAACACCCUCGACAGUUAGAUUUGAG
Long non-coding RNA from Lampris incognitus (smalleye Pacific opah), 301 nucleotides. RefSeq lists it as uncharacterized. Lineage: Eukaryota; Metazoa; Chordata; Actinopteri; Lampriformes; Lampridae. The transcript has 3 exons. The record is from RefSeq and is a predicted model, not a curated record.